GGCAGAACUAGAUUAAAGCAAUGAAAAUUUCUCUGUGCACUCAUUAAGUUUUACAGGUACAUGAAAUAUGACAUCAAAAAAGGUUCUGUCGAUUAUGGAAAGUCAGAAUAUGUAGAAUAUGUCACUGACAGCUCUCAAGUAAAUAGGGCUGAAUUUUCAAUUACAUUGCAAGGGGUGCACCAUCAUUUUUCCUAACAUACAGUUGUAAUGGUUGUGUAGGCGUAGUGGUGCAAAUAGUAGAUGAGAAUUUAAUUCCAGUGAUACAAUUGUUUAUUUGCUGUUGUAGCACCACAAAUAGGUAUAAAUAAUUAACACAAGUCACAAAUAUCCAUUUUUUUUUUUCUAGUAUUUUGUGCUAAAAUUGAACUAAAUCAUCUGUAUACUUCCAUUGCUAUAGCCAGCUUAUGACUUUAAAGACGCUGGAUUUGUACCAUAUGUGUCAGUGGUAGCCUGAGAACUUGUGGGAUGCCAUCAGGAAUGUGGUUACACUGUGUAUUUCACUUUUUUAAAUGAUGUUCUUCAAAAGAGAGAUUUUUGCUAGGUGAGUUACACUCUUCAUUUCAAGAGUAGAUGCUCCUGAGAGCAUUAAAAAGAAAUGGUCAACUGUCUUUAGUAAUGUUUUCUUGUGAAUUUUAAUUCAUUUAAUAGAUACUUUUUAAAUCUGUAAUUACCUUCACUCCCAGUUCUAUGGGCAGAAUUAAUUACUUCUAUAAUAAUCAGUGAAAUAGUUUGUGGAAUUACCCUACAUUUGAAACACGUGGAAGAAAAUGUCUUCGGCUCUACGUCCAGAAGUUAACUUUGAAAAUAGCAGCCUGUUUAUUUGACGGAUAACAUUUUUUUCUUACCAAACUGUAUCUAAUCAAAUCCUUACAAAGCAAUGCCAUGCAUUCAAUGCAUGUCCCAUAAUUCUCUUUGGAGACAGUGCACAGCUGCUGCAGUUAGUAUUAGCUGCUUCUUAUGGCUUGGUAUUUUCUUUCAAUAAAAAUCACAGAUGGCUGGGUGUCUUUCACACCGUGAUUGUAAAUAUGAGCCCGGGUCAGGUGAAGAGGUGAUUCUGUGUGUGUAUGUACCUCUGGACUUUAGAAGGAUGUGGACUUGGUAUUGGAUGGAUAUCCAGGAACCACCAACAGGAUGGGGUUUCCCUAAUGCAAUUGAGAUUGGAGGUGUUCAGCUGCAUGGCACUGGAAGACACUUCCAUGGCCUUCAUUUCUGUUCAGGGAAAUAGAAGAGUUGCUGCAUUCCAGUUAUAAAGCUAUCAAAGAUGAUUUAUGUCUGUGAGAUCUUCUAUUCAUCACUGGAGAAUUUUAAUUUUUGGCAUAUUUGAUGUUUUGAUAUCAAGCAAAGGUGCUAUUGAGGAGGUGUACAAAUCUACUCUCUGCUUACAGACAAAUGGCUUCAAUAAUGGGAACAGGCAAGAGCCCAUUUAUCAAAUUGCUUUCUGUUCCCUACCAGUGUCUUAAAUAGGUAAGUAGGAGCCAGCUGCUUAUGUCUUUCAGAUGCUUGGUUAGCUAAAUGACAGCAUUAUGUGCUUCUGAUGAGAAGAUAUACAGCUGUGCAUUUCUGACAUACUGUCAGCACGAUAGCCCAUAACAUCUAACGAUCCCACCUCAUCUUCUGGUUACAUACGAUGUAAAUGAGAAAGAGAGUGGAGCUAUUUUGAUAAACUUAGGAAAAUGCUUAACAUGUUCAGCAAUAUAGCUCUCAAAAAUACAGUUCAUAAAAGUAUCUCUGAAUUCACACCUCUGUAUAAAGGUGCCAGACAAAACAAAGUUCUGCUUCUUCUCGUUCCCAUUUCAUGUUAAGAUUGUGACAGCAAUCUUCAGUAAAUUGAAAGGGUUUCAAAUGGAGCAACUAACAUGAGCUAGGAGUAGGCUGAUUGGGCACACCUAUACUGCUAAAUACAAGAGAGUUGGGCAGCAGUUUCCAACCCCAAAUCCCAAUGGUGCAAAGACUUCUGGUGACUCCAUCUGAAGAAGGCUGGUCACAUCAUUCCCCCAGCUUGGGUCUCUGUUUGAGGUAUGAAGACAUUUAGGGGAGACUGAGGACACAGUGACUUCUAGGACUGUGCUGGCAGAUUGUUUUGGGUGCAGGGAGCCAGCACUGAUGUGAUGUUUUCCUUGCUGACUUUUGCAACCGUUCCUAAGGAGAACCACGUCCCAGGCCACUGCCUGGGUUUGUCUUGGGGAGAUCUAGCUGGAUAGCUUCAAAAACAGGUCUACAGGAAAGUUAAGAAUUAAGAAAUGUGGACAAACAAGGUACAGUGCUUGGGCUUGUACUCUUCAAUAUGGCCGUGCAGGCAUAACCAUAAAACUAGUUUUUAUCUCAUCACUGUGUAUUUAAGGAGACAGAAAACUCAUUUCAACAGCUGACAACUUUUCUUCAGGCCAUCUGUCAAAUCCUGUGGACAGCUUUUUGGAGAAGACCUUGGCUGAACUUCAGGUAAUAGAUCAUCCUUUUUCCUAUGGAUCCCUUGGAACCCAAUAGGGUUUUUAUUUCAAAAUCAACUGAUGCAGCAUGAAGUUUUACUCCAUAUCAUCUAUGGCCUCUCCAGCACAAAUGCGUGAGGGCUUUGCCAAUGUCUCUCAUGUUCUGGAAGGUGAUCUAGGAGAGCAAGGAGCAAGAGGAAGAUACAGCGUAUGUCCCUGUUCGGAAAGCUGUAACUCAGUGGACUUUGCUGAUGUGUAGACAUCAGAAUUCUUGUGCAUUUUUUCUCUGGAACCACCACCCUCACUACUUGAGAGGGAGAGAAGUGUGCACACUACUUCGUUACAUACUAUGUUAGCAUCUAACGUGGAGUUGUAUUAUGCACAACCAUACUUCAUUUUGAUUCCUCAGAUUUGAUGCCUCACUUAUUUGCUUGUUCCACUCUUGUCAGUAUUCCACAUCCUCUUCUCCUAUAAAACGGUUUUUGCUUCUAUUUCAUUCUUUCAUAUUUUCAUUCAUAUCCUUUCAAGGUAUUUUCUGUUUAUACCAUGUGUGAAGAGAUAAGCCACAAAAUACAAAACAACACACACACACAUGUAUGCAAGCAAACAAACAAAAAAUGCGUUACUUCAUUUCUGAAGGAGGUAUUGAUAAUAUUACCAGAGGAAUUUAACAACAAAAGCUGAAAAUUUAUUUCACCAUUCAAAGAGGAAUAACCAGAAUUGUUUGGUCUGUUUUGUGCCCAGGGAAAUUUAGCUUUCGAGUCUUGAGUGUGUAGGUGCCUGAAAUUUAAUCUACAACAGCUUUUAUUUGGCUUGUAUUUUCAGUGUUUUUAUGUUAUUCUGUAAUUUGUAAUGGAAAGUUCAAAAUUUAUAAUUUCUAAAACUUUAAAAAAAAUCUUUUAAUUUUGAAAUAAAUCAUUAUUUUUUGGGGGGGGGCA
Molecule: long non-coding RNA, 3364 nt
Filed under: Anas platyrhynchos platyrhynchos (common mallard)
Lineage: Eukaryota; Metazoa; Chordata; Aves; Anseriformes; Anatidae
Description: lncRNA (ENSAPLG00000020586.1)
Source: RNAcentral